RNAcentral lists this long non-coding RNA (838 nucleotides) under Arabidopsis thaliana (thale cress). RNAcentral's name for it is "long non-coding RNA (ATHA_LNC000234)". Lineage: Eukaryota; Viridiplantae; Streptophyta; Magnoliopsida; Brassicales; Brassicaceae. The record is from RNAcentral.
AGAAGAUAGAAGUUAGAUAGCUGGAUCUUCGAGUUUUCUUUCACCUGAUUUGGUAUCUAGGAAAAUGUUGUUCUCAAGAAGAUGGAAGAUUGUAACAGUUUGGUGAGAAGCCUGGAAUUUGGAUGAUGUAGAUGAUUCACCUCUCGAUAAUCACAUAUUCUACAUGUAGAAUGGCCAAAAGAUGAUUAUAUUAACUAUUAAGAAAACAUAUUGACCUUAACGUAUGUAGAUAUAUCUCUAAGAAAUUAUGUAAAUCAUGAGAAGUAACACUUACUUUGUCGAAGUCGUCGGAGAAACUUAAAACCAAUUAUAAUCUUUUUUCUUGGAAUCUCUUUCUUUUUUUCUGGUAAUAGACCAAGAUGUAGGUUCGCUUCAAGGAAAAAAUCAUCUUUAAAGGUUCGCUUCAAGGACGUCUUUUUCACACCAUACCCUCUACUUAUUUUGUCUUCUCCUCGUCUUGUAUAAACUCCACACUCAUCUUUGAUACUAUUGAUUUGGAUACCCUAGUUUACAGGAAAAGUUGAUUGUAAAAGGAAUACUAACUUUGACGCGCAAACACAAACCAAAAUAUCUUCAUUAUAGAAUAAUGGAACAAACUUGAUUGCAAAAGUUUAUUGAAAAAUAGAAUCUAUCAUUACAAAUUUGUUUACAGAAGGAUACGAAGAGAUCAGUUAGAUUUGGUUACGACUCUUCGAUUUUGGUAUGCCACAUGACUUUUGUUGAGAAUAAGAAAAUUAUGGUAGAAAAAUAAGAAAAUUAUGGUAGAAAUAACGAUUUUUUAUGUGUCCAAAUGAAAUGAAUCAAGUCUCUAUUUAUAGAGUUUAAAAAGUUAUAAACU